Long non-coding RNA from Ahaetulla prasina, 996 nucleotides. RefSeq lists it as uncharacterized. The record is from RefSeq and is a predicted model, not a curated record. The transcript is spliced from 4 exons. NCBI's taxonomy places the organism in Eukaryota, Metazoa, Chordata, Lepidosauria, Squamata, Colubridae.
GGCACCCUCCUCCCAAGUAGUCAGGUCGCCCUGCGCUGACUCUGCCUCCUCUCCAUUCUCUGUAGUCGAGGAUCAGGGGAGGGAGGCAGUUCAGUGGUGGGUUGCUCCUAGUUUGGUCCAGUUCUUGCGAACCGGUAGUAAAACCGGCAGGAGGCUUCGCCCACUGACCCGCACAUCAUCAUGGAAGUCCUGCACAUGUGCAGAAGCUUUGCGCAACAGUUCCCAUUGUGAACCAGUAGUAAAGUCAUCCUGCACCUUCUCUGAUGACCCUUUUGCGGCCUGAGGGACCCAGAACUGCCUCUUCUCGCUCCUCCGGUCCUUCCUCCUGGGCCAGAGAGGCUACACCCUCUUUAGCCAUCGGUCCUGGCUCCAUCUCCUCCUCCUCCUCCUCGGAAUCUGGCUCCGACGGGACCAUGACACAGCCUUUUUAAUUCCAGCUCAAAAUAAUAAUAAAGGAGAGGAUUUUAUUGAGUGCAUUUUCUUUGAAGCCUAUAAGGAUCCAAACAAAGGGAGCAGAUUUACAACUAAAGAAGUGGAAGCAUGAAGUUCUUCCUAAUUCCAGGUGAGUGGUAUCAACAACCAAAACCACAACUACAAACAGGCUAACCUCGUAUGAACUGAAUUUGGGGACACAUUAAAUGUGAACUGGUAUCAGUGAUGAUCUACCUGUGGGACUACGUCUUCUCCCUGAUCUUCGGACCUUUAAACGCGAGCUCAAAACCUUUUUCUUUCAUCAAGCGGGGCUGGCCUAAUGAUUAAUUUUAAUAUUGAGGGUUUUUUUAGUGGGUUUUUAAGGGGUUUUAAUUUAUUUAUUAAUUUUUAUUCAGCAAUUUUAACAUGCAGCUUAUGGAAUUAGAUUUUUAAUUGAAUAUUGUAUUUAAAUUUUUUUGAUAUCUAUGUUUUACUUAUGCUGUACACCGCCCUGAGUCCUCGGAGAAGGGCGGUAUAAAAAUUUGAAAAAAUAAAUAAACAAAAAAAUAAAUAAAUAAAUUUACA